AUGAACGCUGGCGGCGUGCCUAAUACAUGCAAGUCGAACGAGGUGCUUUUGUAGCAAUACGGAAGUAUCCUAGUGGCGAACGGGUGAGUAACGCGUUGGUGACCUACCCCAAAGUGUGGGAUAACAGUUCGAAAGAACUGCUAAUACCGCAUGUGGUUAUUGGAUUUAGAAACCGAUAACUAAAGGAGCAAUUCGCUUUGGGAGGGACCUGCGUCCCAUCAGCUAGUUGGUGAGGUAAUGGCUCACCAAGGCUACGACGGGUAGGGGACCUGAGAGGGUGACCCCCCACAAUGGAACUGAAACACGGUCCAUACACCUACGGGUGGCAGCAGUAGGGAAUAUUAGUAAUGGGCGAAAGCCUGAACUAGCAACACCGCGUGUGCGAUGAAGGCCUUCGGGUUGUAAAGCACUUUUCGGGAGGAUGAGGAAGGACGGUACUCCCGGAAUAAGUCUCGGCUAACUACGU
Molecule: ribosomal RNA, 466 nt
Filed under: uncultured bacterium
Lineage: Bacteria
Description: bacterial SSU rRNA
Rfam family: Bacterial small subunit ribosomal RNA
Source: RNAcentral